Molecule: ribosomal RNA, 420 nt
Filed under: uncultured bacterium
Lineage: Bacteria
Description: bacterial SSU rRNA
Rfam family: Bacterial small subunit ribosomal RNA
Source: RNAcentral
AUAUUGCGCAAUGGGGGAAACCCUGACGCAGCAACGCCGCGUGAGUGAGGAAGGUCUUCGGAUUGUAAAACUCUGUUCUUAGGGAAAAAUGAUCUAGUGGUUAAUACCCAUUAGGAGUGAUGGUACCUAAGUAGAAAGCACCGGCUAACUUCGUGCCAGCAGCCGCGGUAAUACGAAGGGUGCAAGCGUUGUUCGGAAUCAUUGGGCGUAAAGCGAGCGCAGGCGGAUCAGCAAGUCAGGUGUGAAAUCUCGAGGCUCAACCUCGAAACUGCGCCUGAAACUGCUAGUCUAGAAUGUCGGAGGGGAUAGGGGAAUUUCACGUGUAGGGGUAAAAUCCGUAGAGAUGUGAAGGAACACCGGAGGCGAAGGCGCCUAUCUGGACGACUAUUGACGCUGAGGCUCGAAAGCGUGGGGAGCAAA